Molecule: unclassified non-coding RNA, 390 nt
Filed under: soil metagenome
Description: partial contains 5.8S ribosomal RNA, internal transcribed spacer 2, and large subunit ribosomal RNA
Rfam family: 5.8S ribosomal RNA (bases 1-122)
Source: RNAcentral
GAUGAAGAACGUAGCGAAAUGCGAUACUUGGUGUGAAUUGCAGAAUCCCGCGAAUCAUCGAGUUUUUGAACGCAAGUUGCGCCCGAAGCCAUUCGGCCGAGGGCACGUCUGCCUGGGUGUCACGCAUCGUUGCCCCCCCAAACUCCGGUUCGGGCGGGGCGGAAGUUGGCCUCCCGUGCGUGCCUGCGCGCGCGGUUAGCCCAAAAGCGAGUCCUCGGCGACGAGCGCCACGACAAUCGGUGGUUUUUUUACCCUCGUUCCUCGUCGUGCGUGCCCCGUCGCCCGAACGCGCUCUUGCGACCCUCACGAGUCGCCUCGGCGGCGCUCCCAACGCGACCCCAGGUCAGGCGGGACUACCCGCUGAGUUUAAGCAUAUCAAUAAGCGGAGGA